RNAcentral lists this ribosomal RNA (458 nucleotides) under Streptomyces sp. HC14. RNAcentral describes it as "partial 16S ribosomal RNA". It matches the Rfam family "Bacterial small subunit ribosomal RNA", at positions 290 to 760 of the family's 1533-position model. Lineage: Bacteria; Bacillati; Actinomycetota; Actinomycetes; Kitasatosporales; Streptomycetaceae. The record is from RNAcentral.
GGCUGAGAGGNCGACCGGCCACACUGGGACUGAGACACGGCCCAGACUCCUACGGGAGGCAGCAGUGGGGAAUAUUGCACAAUGGGCGAAAGCCUGAUGCAGCGACGCCGCGUGAGGGAUGACGGCCUUCGGGUUGUAAACCUCUUUCAGCAGGGAAGAAGCGAAAGUGACGGUACCUGCAGAAGAAGCGCCGGCUAACUACGUGCCAGCAGCCGCGGUAAUACGUAGGGCGCAAGCGUUGUCCGGAAUUAUUGGGCGUAAAGAGCUCGUAGGCGGCUUGUCACGUCGGUUGUGAAAGCCCGGGGCUUAACCCCGGGUCUGCAGUCGAUACGGGCAGGCUAGAGUUCGNNGGGGGAGAUCGGAAUUCNUGGUGUNGNGNUGANNUGNGCAGAUAUCAGGAGGAACACCGGUGGCGANGGCGGAUCUCUGNNNCGAUACUGACGCUAANNAGCGAAAGC